This 433-nucleotide ribosomal RNA is filed under the name uncultured bacterium. RNAcentral's name for it is "partial 16S ribosomal RNA". It matches the Rfam family "Bacterial small subunit ribosomal RNA", at positions 29 to 507 of the family's 1533-position model. The record is from RNAcentral.
AACGAACGCUGGCGGCAUGCCUAACACAUGCAAGUCGAACGAGACCUUCGGGUCUAGUGGCGCACGGGUGCGUAACGCGUGGGAACCUGCCCUUAGGUUCGGAAUAACUCCCCGAAAGGGGUGCUAAUACCGGAUAAUGUCUUCGGACCAAAGAUUUAUCGCCUUUGGAUGGGCCCGCGUUGGAUUAGCUAGUUGGUAGGGUAAAAGCCUACCAAGGCGACGAUCCAUAGCUGGUCUGAGAGGAUGAUCAGCCACACUGGGACUGAGACACGGCCCAGACUCCUACGGGAGGCAGCAGUGGGGAAUAUUGGACAAUGGGCGAAAGCCUGAUCCAGCAAUGCCGCGUGAGUGAUGAAGGCCUUAGGGUUGUAAAGCUCUUUGACCCGGGAUGAUAAUGACAGUACCGGGAGAAUAAGCUCCGGCUAACUACGUG